This 122-nucleotide ribosomal RNA is filed under the name uncultured Erythrobacter sp. RNAcentral's name for it is "partial 16S ribosomal RNA". Lineage: Bacteria; Pseudomonadati; Pseudomonadota; Alphaproteobacteria; Sphingomonadales; Erythrobacteraceae. The record is from RNAcentral.
GUACUGUCAUUAUCAUCCCUGGUAAAAGAGCUUUACAACCCUAAGGCCUUCAUCACUCACGCGGCAUUGCUGGAUCAGGCUUUCGCCCAUUGUCCAAUAUUCCCCACUGCUGCCUCCCGUAG